This 404-nucleotide long non-coding RNA is filed under the name Capsicum annuum. RNAcentral describes it as "long non-coding RNA (CANN_LNC011889)". Lineage: Eukaryota; Viridiplantae; Streptophyta; Magnoliopsida; Solanales; Solanaceae. The record is from RNAcentral.
CCCCGCAUCUUCAACCUCACCCCACCCCAGUUCGUCCUCUUUACAGCACCCCACCUCCACCCGUCAUUGUCAUCUUCAAUUCAUUAAUUAAAGCUUUUCAUUAAUGGAAAUAGCGAAUUUGAACUCGUUCGUAAUGGAUUUGAUCAAUUUGUUUUCGAAAAAUCAUUUAUGGGUUCAUGUAAUAGAACAAUUUUAUAAUUUUUCUUUAGACUUGGAAGGUUUUAAAUUUAGCAUUACAGCAAUGGAUCUUUAAGGGAUCUGCAGUAUCGCAAAACACCCAAUUUGUAUGGCAAGUCCUGUACCAUUUAGCAGCCCAGCAAUACUCGAAUCAUCCACUGAUAUUGGAAGUCUCUAUUUUCGAACUAUUCAAAUCUUGUUCGUCCAAAUUUAGCAGCAACGGCAGG